UCAGAAUUACAACCUUCUACAUCUAUGCAAACUUUUAUUUGUCGGAGAAUUCCUUUCUCUAGGAGAAAGAGAAAUAGUCACCAUGUGAAAGGCUGAUUUCUGACACACGGGGCUUUACCCCUCCCCCGGCGUGGGGAAAAAUAUCUCCCGUGGAUAUCUUUAAACUGCGCACAAUCCAUAACUUUGGCAAUGUAUAUGUAGUGUUAUUUCUGCAAGGCAGUUUUCCAGGGUUAGGGGAGGUGGUUGCAUUUUGCUAAAUGGAUCCUUUGUGGUGAGUGCAGAUUUAUGCCCAGUUUUGAUUUAUAAUUAAAUUAGCUUCUAAUUUGCAAUAUGUGAGUCUGUGUUUAAAAUGUAUCUAAUCUGUGAAAUUGAGGACUGGGGCACUUUAAAUGAAAAUCUACCUUUCGCCUCAAGGGUUUCUUUAUGAAGGGAUAGCCGGGAGGGCAGCGUGCAGCAGGAAAGCGAGGCUGUAAUUUCCAUUAGGAGAUGUCAAUCAAUCUUUCUUUUCAAUACAUCAAUUAAUAAAUCCGAUUGGUACUGCGGGCUGCUCACCCCCACCCCCCGCCCCCGGGGCACUCUUUCUGGCCGGAUGGGGAAGUGUGAGGGGAAGGCAAACUUUGGCAGGGAAGUUCCCGCAGGCAGAGCUCGACCCGACCCGCCCUCCCCCCUCCCCUUCUCCCCCGCUCCGGCCCUGCGCGGGGCUCCGGGACCGGCUCCAGCCUCGGCGCGGCGCUGGGGGCGGCAGGCGAAGCCGGCGGGACUCCCUCCGUCGGCUCUCGGGGUUUCGCAGAACUAAAUUGACACAACUUGAACGCACACAGUAUUUUAUAGAAAUCCGGCUACAGAAAGGGAUGACUUUCCUGAACCCACGACCAACGUAAAAAAGAUGCUUAAAAGGAGGAGAACAUCCUCAAACUACUCCGUUGUCAUCGUCAUCAUCACCAUGUCCGUUUGAUUUAAAAACAGCACGAUAAGGGAGCACGCUCUCACUGAACGCUGUCUCGUCAGCUUUCUUUUUUCGCCUCCCAACCACACGGCUUUGUGCCCUCAGAUUUGCGGGCUACUGCUGCCGGUUUGAGUUGCCCGACACAAGCAGCGUUUUGCAUGUCUCCAGCGAGAGGGGGAACGCUGGGUGAACAGAGGGCUGCGAGUGGGAACCCGGGGGCUACGGGGCUGAACUUCGGGAAGGAAUGAAGUAAAAAGAAGAGAGAGAGAAUGAGAGAGUCUCCCAGGCAGCUCGAUCCCAUUAGCUCCGUCCUUGGGUUGCAUAUUUAUACGGUCUAGGAGGUGAACAGAUGGACUAUCAAUUUAAUUCCAUCUUCAACACCAUCAGAGAUUGAUUUUCUACUCGCUUUUAAUUUUGCCAUAAUUAAUUAGAUCAUUACAACUGUUUUCUAUUGAUCUCCCUAUUUAAACCUCAGAUGCAAAGGGACUUCGGCAGAUCCUUUAAAAACACAGAAGGGAAAAGGAACAGAGGGGUUUGCAAACUUUCUGAAGGUUUUUUUCAGUUUUGACUUAGAAGAUUUUCAGUGCAGAAUAGCAAAAAACUGCCUCUGUGUCCUUUUCCUUUAGGAGGCCUUUUUCUUUGCCUUUGUAAUUUUCCUUUACGUUUUGGCGAAUCUUUGUCAUAUUUAUAUGUAGUAUACAGCAUAUAUAAUAGAUUUAAUUGGUUCGAUUAUGAAAACAUAAGCUUGCACGUGUAUAUGCAUACAUAUAUAUUCACACACAACGUGUUUAAUAUUGAGAUUUACAGAGAUGGUGCACACACAUUUAUAUAUGGGGAAACUAUCGACAGAAGAGAUGUGGUUUUCUGAAAGGCGAAUAUUUUUAUUUGCCUCCCGUACGUGUCUCUCUGUUUGUGCACUUGAAGUCCUCUCUAGGUGGGGGAUAUUUCGCCCUGCGACUCCAUCAGAAAUGACAAAGGAAAACCAGCGCUAUUAGCUCCGGUUCCUAGCCUCGGUUCCCAGCGCCCGCCGCAGCCUUUCUUUUCGAAGCCUCCCCUGCAGCAAACGACUGGCAACCGGGGCAGCAGCACGGCUCUGUGCUGGCAGUCGGCGAGGUUUGUAUUUUAAACCUCUGUAUCCUUUACCCCCCAAAAAAUCCCUAAAUUAAAAGCUCUGUUUAUAUACUUAA
Long non-coding RNA from Prinia subflava (tawny-flanked prinia), 2133 nucleotides. RefSeq lists it as uncharacterized. NCBI's taxonomy places the organism in Eukaryota, Metazoa, Chordata, Aves, Passeriformes, Cisticolidae. The transcript has 2 exons. The record is from RefSeq and is a predicted model, not a curated record.